Molecule: long non-coding RNA, 1926 nt
Filed under: Homo sapiens (human)
Lineage: Eukaryota; Metazoa; Chordata; Mammalia; Primates; Hominidae
Description: non-protein coding lnc-ANO3-2:2
Source: RNAcentral
CUGGGAUUACAGGCGUGAGCCACUGCGCCUAGCCUAGCUCCUUCUUAUAAGUGAGAACGUUCAGUAUUUGACUUUUGGUUCCUGAAUUAAAUGUAUUUCUUUAAUUCACAGGUCUUCAGAUUGAGAGGAGCAGAACAUGAGGUACUGAACUCAAGAGGUCUCACGUGCACUUGGACCUGAUUUACAUGACAAGGUUCUGGCCUGAUUCAGUAACAUGAUACAAUCUUAUGUGGGGUAUUGGGAGGUUGAGUAUGUAUUUUUCAUGGGGAAGAAUGUAAAUAAUCCAUGGAAUAAAAAAUAUGACUUUUAAAAUGUGGCCUCAGAAUCCUUUGCACUCCUCUCAUUAAGAAGUAAGGUCUAUGAGUUUCCCUUUGAAUUUGAGUGGGCUUUUGACUUCUUCAUUCAAUACUGCAAGUUUCAAGUGAUGUUAUGUGACUUCUAAAUCUAGAUUAUAAAAGGUCUUGCAGAUUUUGCAUAAUUUUUUUAAAUUACACAAAAAUCAUUUUUGCAUAAUUCUCCUUCCUGGAGCUUUCAUUCUUGUACAUUCCCUCCCAGAAUCUAGCCACCAUGCUGCGAGAAUUCCAAGCCUCACAGAGAGGGCCCGUGUAGGUUCAAAGUACUAGAGUCCCAGUUGAGACUGUCCUUGAGCCACCACACCCCGAAAAGCAGACUGUGGGUAGAGUUAAUAUUGGAAAUGUUUUCUCCAGUCUUAGUUGUCCCAGCCCCCGGCUUCUAGAGGUAUCUCCAGCUGUUUAAGAGAUCUCAACUGAGGUAGCAGAUAUGGUAAAGUUCUAAAAUGCCACUCCUAUUCUGUACACCCUAAUUUCCAAAUUCACAUAAUUUGUAACCAUAAUAAAGCAAUUGCAAUCAUGUACUACUAAAAUAUAGGAUAUUUUAAACACAGCAACUUUAAAAGAAGUAUUGACAUAUUUUGCUACAUUGAAGUCAUGCUCUCUGUAGCCAAGAGACUCUCUUUUCACUUCUUUUUAAUUAAACUCAUACUUCCUCCAACUCAUACUUGUGAAAUAUCAUUAUUUAUGAGUAUUGAGCAAAACAUUAUUCAAAACUACAUAUACAGCAUUUAUUCCUUUAAAUGGUCCAUGUCUUUUUGAAAACCUUCUUAGCUAGACCUUCCCUGUUUUCUAGUUAAAUUCCCCAGUACUCAGUGACAUAUGUAAUUGAUGUGACUAUAUUCGACCACUGGACCAAAGAAUUUCUAAGAGAUUUAGUAUUUAGUAAGGCAAUCUGCCAAACCACUGAGAUGGUUCCAGUAGUGAUAUAGGUGAUAUAUAAAAAUUAAAACCCACUCACCCUUACUGGCAAUAACACAGAUGCUGGAAUCAGAUGACUGAUGUUUUCUGUCUUGCCUGGAGCUGUUUAUGUUCUGCCUUAUUUGUUAAAAGCCAGAAGCAUCUCUGAGAACAAUCAGAUGUUCACGUCUUCUACAGAAAUUUAAUGACCAUUGUGUCAAUUUCUUCACAGUUCUCCCCCAUUGGCAUGCUGAUAAAUGAGAGUCUGAAGCUUUGACAUAAAAACCUAAACUCUACCUGUGUACAGAACAGAAACAGAAUGAGAGCGAAAAAACAACUAUACUGAAAGCAAAUUGAAGAGAAUUGUGAACUUUCUUCUGAAUGCAUAUAUUUUGCUCGACAAGUUUAGCUUCCAUAAAAAUCUGAAAUCUAGAAUGUCUGUCCUAUUAUUUAUUCAUAAGCUUGUAACUUUAUGGGAGAUAUUUCCCCAUUAUUCUUUACGAACACUUGAUAUUCUUUUCAUUAGAGAAGAUAUUUUACCUGCUUCAUUCUCAAGCAAUGCCUUCACUAAACACUAAGCACUUCAAAGAAGUUGCCUGUGUGUAAUAAAGCAAUGUGCUAAUCUUGACAGAUCACCCUGCUUAUUUCUCUGCAGUAAGUGUUUAGUUAUAAAGGA